GACGAACGCCUGAAGCGUGCUUAACACAUGCAAGUCGAACGGAAAGGCCCUGCUUUUGUGGGGUGCUCGAGUGGCGAACGGGUGUCUAACACGUGAGUAACCUGCCCUUGACUUUGGGAUAACUUCAGGAAACUGGGGCUAAUACCGGAUAGGAGCUCCUGCUGCAUGGUGGGGGUUGGAGAGUUUCGGCGGUUGGGGAUGGACUCGCGGCUUAUCAGCUUGUUGGUGGGGUAGUGGCUUACCAAGGCUUUGACGGGUAGCCGGCCUGAGAGGGUGACCGGCCACAUUGGGACUGAGAUACGGCCCAGACUCCUACGGGAGGCAGCAGUGGGGAAUAUUGCACAAUGGGCGGAAGCCUGUUGCAGCAACGCCGCGUGCGGGAUGACGGCCUUCGGGUUGUAAACCGCUUUCGCCUGUGACGAAGCGUGAGUGACGGUAAUGGGUAAAGAAGCACCGGCUAACUACGUGCCAGCAGCCGCGGUGAUACGUAGGGUGCGAGCGUUGUCCGGAUUUAUUGGGCGUAAAGGGCUCGUAGGUGGUUGAUCGCGUCGGAAGUGUAAUCUUGGGGCUUAACCCUGAGCGUGCUUUCGAUACGGGUUGACUUGAGGAAGGUAGGGGAGAAUGGAAUUCCUGGUGGAGCGGUGGAAUGCGCAGAUAUCAGGAGGAACACCAGUGGCGAAGGCGGUUCUCUGGGCCUUUCCUGACGCUGAGGAGCGAAAGCGUGGGGAGCGAACAGGCUUAGAUACCCUGGUAGUCCACGCUGUAAACGGUGGGUACUAGGUGUGGGGUCCAUUCCACGGGUUCCGUGCCGUAGCUAACGCUUUAAGUACCCCGCCUGGGGAGUACGGCCGCAAGGCUAAAACUCAAAGGAAUUGACGGGGCCCCGCACAAGCGGCGGAGCAUGCGGAUUAAUUCGAUGCAACGCGUAGAACCUUACCUGGGUUUGACAUGGAUCGGGAGUGCUCAGAGAUGGGUGUGCCUCUUUUGGGGUCGGUUCACAGGUGGUGCAUGCCUGUCGUCAGCUCGUGUCGUGAGAUGUUGGGUUAAGUCCCGCAACGAGCGCAACCCUUGUUCACUGUUGCCAGCACGUUAUGGUGGGGACUCAGUGGAGACCGCCGGGGUCAACUCGGAGGAAGGUGGGGAUGACGUCAAGUCCUCAUGCCCCUUAUGUCCAGGGCUUCACGCAUGCUACAAUGGCUGGUACAGAGAGUGGCGAGCCUGUGAGGGUGAGCGAAUCUCGGAAAGCCGGUCUCAGUUCGGAUUGGGGUCUGCAACUCGACCUCAUGAAGUCGGAGUCGCUAGUAAUCGAAGGUCAGCAACGCUGCGGUGAAUACGUUCCCGGGGC
Molecule: ribosomal RNA, 1345 nt
Filed under: uncultured bacterium
Lineage: Bacteria
Description: bacterial SSU rRNA
Rfam family: Bacterial small subunit ribosomal RNA
Source: RNAcentral